ACUCAAAUGAAUUGACGGGGGCCCGCACAAGCGGUGGAGCAUGUGGUUUAAUUCGAUGGUACGCGAGGAACCUUACCAGGGUUUGACAUGCAUAUGACAGGUGGCGAAAGUCAUCCUCCAGCAAUGGCAUAUGUACAGGUGCUGCAUGGUUGUCGUCAGCUCGUGCCGUGAGGUGUUAGGUUAAGUCCUGCAACGAGCGCAACCCCCAUCCUAUGUUGCUACCGGGUUAAGCCGGGCACUCUUAGGAAACUGCCAGUGAUGAACUGGAGGAAGGUGGGGACGACGUCAAAUCAUCAUGGCCCUUAUGUCCUGGGCUACACACGUGCUACAAUGGAUAGUACAGAGGGUUGCAGAGCUGCGAGGCGAAGCUAAUCCCUUAAAGCUAUUCUCAGUUCGGAUUGAAGUCUGAAACUCGACUUCAUGAAGUCGGAAUCGCUAGUAAUCGCGGAUCAGAACGCCGCGGUGAAUACGUUCCCGGGCCUUGCACACACCGCCCGU
RNAcentral lists this ribosomal RNA (498 nucleotides) under uncultured bacterium. Its description in RNAcentral is "partial 16S ribosomal RNA". It matches the Rfam family "Bacterial small subunit ribosomal RNA", at positions 899 to 1397 of the family's 1533-position model. The record is from RNAcentral.